AUUAAUAUGCUGCAGUAUAAUUUCUUCCAUUCCCUUGAGUUCUUUAGGACCAGUCUCACAUGCCACAAAACAUAAUCAUCAACUCAGUAUAAGAGUACCAGAGCAUCUAAGAUGUGAAGCAUUGAACCAAAGGAACUGAUGUCCACUGAGCUUUGCCUUUACCCCAUGGAAGACCAUCACACAUCUGUGACUUAGUAAAGUCCUCCUGAUCUACAAGUUGGCCUUCAAGUGGCAUCUUCUUAGCAGGAUCACAAAGCAUUCAACACAUGCUCUGAAGAAUUGGCCUUGUCUACGAAAAGAGCAGGGUAUGUUUGAUCAACCAAAGUGAAUUGGAAAGGAAAUGGCACAUUUCCUUGGACUGGCCUUCAAAAAAAAAAGGUAAAAUGUUAACCUGCUGGGAGUAUGUAAGACUGGAAAGUCCUGUAAAUGACUUAGUGCAAAA
This 442-nucleotide long non-coding RNA is filed under the name Zonotrichia albicollis (white-throated sparrow). RNAcentral's name for it is "lncRNA (ENSZALG00000007860.1)". Lineage: Eukaryota; Metazoa; Chordata; Aves; Passeriformes; Passerellidae. The record is from RNAcentral.